Long non-coding RNA from Gossypium arboreum, 524 nucleotides. RefSeq lists it as uncharacterized. The transcript has 2 exons. The record is from RefSeq and is a predicted model, not a curated record. NCBI's taxonomy places the organism in Eukaryota, Viridiplantae, Streptophyta, Magnoliopsida, Malvales, Malvaceae.
CUAACGAAAUUUUCUUAUUUCACAGUUCUUUAACCUUGCGAGCUAAGAUACGGAUCCUGCCUUCGUAGCUACAUCCUAACCGACAGCUUGUGUGAGUAGACCCGUGAGUAGCUCGAAAGCGAGCAGCAUGUGAUAUGUGCUAUGAGGUAGCAUUGGCUACAUAUGAGGCACUUAGGUGUGAGAUUCCGAUGUAUCCGAUGGUAUUCCAAGUGUUCAACUGGUAAAUUAUCGAGUAACUUGACGGAGAACCUGAGGGGGAAGUCAAUGAGAAGAAUAAAUAUAUGGUUAUGUUAUGAGAUAGUACAGGUUUAUUCAGCUAGCUCGGGGUAGAGAUCGUUAGAGAUCCUAUCACACUAUCAAUCUAUCAUGUUGGGUAAAUGAACGCAAACCUUUUAGUCUAUGACAUGUAUAGGGACUUAGUCAUUUUGUGUAUGUGUCAUUAUGAUAUGGCCAAAUGUAUUGGCUUGUAAUGAAUAAGGAUUUGAUUUGGUAUGUAGCCAUAUAAAUUGACUUAUAUUGGCUAA